UAGCCGCAGUAUUUUGACUGUGCGAAGGUAGCGUGAUAAUUAGUCUAUUAAUUGUAGUCUUGUAUGAAUGGUUGGACACAGGAAAUUCUUUCUUAUUUAUAAGGUUGAAUUUUAAGAAUUAGUGAAAAUGCUAAUAUAUUUUAUAAAGACGAGAAGACCCUAUUGAGUUUUAUAUAUUAGUAUUACAUUAUAAGGAGGUUGUAGUAUGAUUAUAUUUGGUUGGGGCGACUUAUGUGAUGAAACAUAUUAUAAUUGUUUAAAGAUUUUUGGUCCAUUAUUAAUGAUUAUUAGAAUAAAUUACCAUAGGGAUAACAGCAUAAUUUUAUCCGAGAGUUCUUAUCGAUGAUAAUGUUUGUGACCUCGAUGUUGGAUUAAGAUUACUAUUAGGUGCAGAUGCUUAAAUAGUUAGACUGUUCGUCUAUUUAAAUCUUACA
RNAcentral lists this ribosomal RNA (434 nucleotides) under Scolopendra sp. CES091459. RNAcentral's name for it is "partial 16S ribosomal RNA". It matches the Rfam family "Bacterial large subunit ribosomal RNA", at positions 1928 to 2600 of the family's 2925-position model. Lineage: Eukaryota; Metazoa; Arthropoda; Chilopoda; Scolopendromorpha; Scolopendridae. The record is from RNAcentral.